Molecule: long non-coding RNA, 520 nt
Filed under: Gallus gallus (chicken)
Lineage: Eukaryota; Metazoa; Chordata; Aves; Galliformes; Phasianidae
Source: RNAcentral
GAGGGCAUAGAUGGAUUCACAGCUGGGACUGGUGGAUAAGUUGGCAUGGGCUGCUGUCCUGGGUAAGGUGCUGGUGGUUGUCCUGGUAAUCCCAUAGGCGGCUGACCAGGAGGCAGUGUGGGCUGGCCCAACGCAGGGCCACCUGGAAAUCCUGGUGCAUUUCCUCCAGAUGGAGGAUACCCCCCAUAAGAGGGCUGCUGUCCUGGUGGAGGCUGUCCAAAGCCACCUGCAGGUACUGGUGGAUAACCCCCAGGUGCUGAAGGAUAUAUGCCUUGUGGUACAUUUGACCCUCCAAAUGUCCCUGCCAUAUUGGAUGCCAUUCCAGCCAUGUAGCUUGGGUUGAACUGAUUGGCAUAGCCAGCCACAUUUUCUAGACCAAUUGGAGGUGGAUUUGAAGGUGGAUAAGCAGCACCACCCCAAGGACUGCCACCUGGGGCUGCUGGUGGAUAUCCACCUGCUGGGGGAUAACCCGGGUGACUCAUUACGAAGCCCGCGUUCCGCCGCCGCCCCGGUCGCGCUG